UACGGGGGGUGCAAGCGUUGUUCGGAAUCAUUGGGCGUAAAGCGCGCGCAGGCGGCUUGGUAAGUCAGAUGUGAAAGCCCUGGGCUUAACCCAGGAAGUGCAUUUGAUACUGCCUCGCUAGAGUACGGGAGAGGAAAGUGGAAUUCCUGGUGUAGAGGUGAAAUUCGUAGAUAUCAGGAGGAACACCGGUGGCGAAGGCGACUUUCUGGCCCGAUACUGACGCUCAGGCGCGAAAGCGUGGGGAG
This 245-nucleotide ribosomal RNA is filed under the name uncultured bacterium. Its description in RNAcentral is "partial 16S ribosomal RNA". It matches the Rfam family "Bacterial small subunit ribosomal RNA", at positions 524 to 768 of the family's 1533-position model. The record is from RNAcentral.